RNAcentral lists this unclassified non-coding RNA (160 nucleotides) under uncultured Plectania. RNAcentral's name for it is "sequence contains ITS2". Lineage: Eukaryota; Fungi; Ascomycota; Pezizomycetes; Pezizales; Sarcosomataceae. The record is from RNAcentral.
AACACAUCCUCAAGCAAUUUUGCUUGGUCUUGGAGGACGAUGUAAACAUCUCCUCUCAAAUACCUCAGCGGAAACCUCUGCAGCCUCAGGUGUGAUAAUAGCUUUUCACUUGGUGACUGUGGUUAUGUUCUUGCUGUCAAGAGCCCCCCAGCUACUAUAA